This 563-nucleotide long non-coding RNA is filed under the name Anas platyrhynchos platyrhynchos (common mallard). Its description in RNAcentral is "lncRNA (ENSAPLG00000016501.1)". The record is from RNAcentral. Lineage: Eukaryota; Metazoa; Chordata; Aves; Anseriformes; Anatidae.
AUGAACAGAGAGUGCAGACAGAGGUGGCUUGAGAAACAGCAGCACGUAAUGUGGUUUGGCAGGACAGUCCCAGAGGAACUCAUCUGCUUGGCUCAGCUUAGAGGAGGUUUUAGCAAGGUACACACUAACCAUCGAUGCUUCUCUACUCUGAAGUGAAACCUCUGUAAAUGAAGAUGUUAGAAGCAUGGAGUUGGCACAUGUGAACCUGGAAGAUGCAUCUGUCUGAUUUUUCCAGUCUGAGGAUUUUUUAACUGCAUUAAUAGCACAGACGAUGGUAAAAUAUCACCUCCCCAGGCUGCUUUGCUCUCCUAACACAUAAUGUCUUUUAAGAAAAAAAGUGAUAGGAGACUGGGGUGAAGAAAAGGCCAGAGAAAUGAGGAUUUGAAAAGUUUAAUAUUUUCAGUCUUCACUGCAUUAGGCUUUUAAGCCUCUCACUUUGAUGAAUUUUGUGCCUAUGGUGUGGAAACGGAAAUUCUACCCAGGCAGUUUUAUCUGUGAUCUCAGGGUUCUGUUAAUUACUUGCUCUAAAUAAAUAAACAACAUUUAAAUAAGGAGACUGAUAA